GGAUCAUUACCGAGUUUACAACUCCCAAACCCCUGUGAACAUACCUUAAUGUUGCCUCGGCGGAUCAGCCCGCGCCCGGUAAAACGGGACGGCCCGCCAGAGGAUCCAAACUCUUGCUGUUAUUGUAACUUCUGAGUAAAACAAACAAAUAAAUCAAAACUUUCAACAACGGAUCUCUUGGUUCUGGCAUCGAUGAAGAACGCAGCAAAAUGCGAUAAGUAAUGUGAAUUGCAGAAUUCAGUGAAUCAUCGAAUCUUUGAACGCACAUUGCGCCCGCCAGUAUUCUGGCGGGCAUGCCUGUUCGAGCGUCAUUUCAACCCUCAAGCCCCCGGGUUUGGUGUUGGGGAUCGGCAAGCCUUCUGGCGAGCCGCCCCCUAAAUCUAGUGGCGGUCUCACUGCAGCCUCCAUUGCGUAGUAGCUAACACCUCGCAACUGGAACGCGGUGCGGCCAUGCCGUUAAACCCCCAACUUCUGAAUGUUGACCUCGGAUCAGGUAGGAAUACCCGCUGAACUUAAGCAUAUCAAUAAGCGGAGGAAAAGAAACCAACAGGGAUUGCCCUAGUAACGGCGAGUGAAGCGGCAACAGCUCAAAUUUGAAAUCUGGCUCUCGGGCCCGAGUUGUAAUUUGUAGAGGAUACUUUUGAUGCGGUGCCUUCCGAGUUCCCUGGAACGGGACGCCAUAGAGGGUGAGAGCCCCGUCUGGUUGGAUGCCAAAUCUCUGUAAAGUUCCUUCAACGAGUCGAGUAGUUUGGGAAUGCUGCUCUAAAUGGGAGGUAUAUGUCUUCUAAAGCUAAAUACCGGCCAGAGACCGAUAGCGCACAAGUAGAGUGAUCGAAAGAUGAAAAGCACUUUGAAAAGAGAGUUAAAAAGUACGUGAAAUUGUUGAAAGGGAAGCGUUUAUGACCAGACUUGGGCUUGGUUAAUCAUCUGGGGUUCUCCCCAGUGCACUUUUCCAGCUCAGGCCAGCAUCAGUUUUCCCCGGGGGAUAAAGGCGGAGGGAAUGUGGCUCUCUUCGGGGAGUGUUAUAGCCCACCGUGUAAUACCCUGGGGGGGACUGA
Molecule: ribosomal RNA, 1058 nt
Filed under: Sordariomycetes sp. genotype 784 JMUR-2016
Lineage: Eukaryota; Fungi; Ascomycota; Sordariomycetes
Description: eukaryotic LSU rRNA
Rfam family: Eukaryotic large subunit ribosomal RNA (bases 480-1058)
Source: RNAcentral